This 23-nucleotide non-coding RNA is filed under the name Arabidopsis thaliana (thale cress). Lineage: Eukaryota; Viridiplantae; Streptophyta; Magnoliopsida; Brassicales; Brassicaceae. The record is from RNAcentral.
AUCAACACAACAUCCACCACCAC